UUUUGCUCUGUAUGUGAGGGACUCUGUGCUGUUUUGUUAGUUCUCAGGAGGUAGUUAUGAAGAAGGCGAAUGAGGAAGCGCUCCUGCUGGGGGACAUAAAGCUGAUAUUUUGUUGCCAGGAGAAAUGUGUGGUUUAUUGAGCUGGUGUAUUAGAUUUCCUGCUGCAUGAGCAAGAAGAUUAUGGUGGCUUACGACUAAGUGUACUUUUGGGAGGCAUUUUGUAUUUUCUCUAUAAAUAGUCUUUCUAAAACACAAUUUUGAAACUAUUAAUGUUUAUAUCACAUUAUACAUCUCUCUAAGUUUACUGUCCUGAGUAUACAGUAUGGUUGCAAGAGGAAAUCUUUUUGUCUAAGAAACGUGUUCAGAAUUGUCAUUGUUAAAAGGCUACUAAAAGGCAGGUUUGUUAUAUUUAUCUUCUUAUCUGUAUGGUAUUUUUGGCUUAUUACACAAUGUCGUUCCUGUUUUCAACAACAGUAAAAUUGCAUCUUUUAAGGAGUUAAGCACUUCAAUAGAAAUUGCAAGUGUGUGAGCAUCCUGGCUAUUCUGUUUGUGUCAGAAA
Long non-coding RNA from Lagopus leucura (white-tailed ptarmigan), 559 nucleotides. RefSeq lists it as uncharacterized. NCBI's taxonomy places the organism in Eukaryota, Metazoa, Chordata, Aves, Galliformes, Phasianidae. The record is from RefSeq and is a predicted model, not a curated record. The transcript is spliced from 3 exons.